RNAcentral lists this ribosomal RNA (253 nucleotides) under uncultured bacterium. Its description in RNAcentral is "partial 16S ribosomal RNA". It matches the Rfam family "Bacterial small subunit ribosomal RNA", at positions 524 to 776 of the family's 1533-position model. The record is from RNAcentral.
UACGAAGGGUGCAAGCGUUACUCGGAAUUACUGGGCGUAAAGCGUGCGUAGGUGGUUCGUUAAGUCUGUCGUGAAAGCCCCGGGCUCAACCUGGGAAUUGCAUUCGAGACUGCAUUGCUGGAGUACGGAAGAGGAAGGCGGAAUUCCCGGUGUAGCGGUGAAAUGCGUAGAUAUCGGGAGGAACAUCAGUGGCGAAGGCGGCCUUCUGGUCCAGUACUGACACUCAAGUGCGAAAGCGUGGGGAGCAAACAGG